Molecule: ribosomal RNA, 366 nt
Filed under: Triticum aestivum (bread wheat)
Lineage: Eukaryota; Viridiplantae; Streptophyta; Magnoliopsida; Poales; Poaceae
Description: partial small subunit ribosomal RNA
Source: RNAcentral
AUGUCUGCGAGCAGUGCUAUUCAGACGGAGGCCGAAGCAUGCCUUCAGGAAGUUUCGGCUGCAGCAGCUUGGGGUAUUUCCAGUGUGGUAAUUGAAUCAGAUUGUGGAACUCUUCUGAAGGCUCUACAAAGUACAACUUACGAUCGUGCUCCUGAAGGCAUUAUCUACCGAGACAUUCGUCAGUUCAUUCGUCUUAGUUUUAAUAAGGUUUCUUUCUUGUUUGCUCCUCGUGAUUGUAAUAAAGUAGCCCAUGCACUAGCAGCUAUGGGGAGUAAGGGCCAGGAAACUCACCGGCUGUGGGUGGACGCUGUGCCGAAUGAUGUAACUGUUCUUAUGGCCAGCGAUGUUGCUACCCCAGUUGAGUAG